AGUGAACGCUGGCGGUAGGCCUAACACAUGCAAGUCGAACGGCAGCACAGUAAGAGCUUGCUCUUACGGGUGGCGAGUGGCGGACGGGUGAGGAAUACAUCGGAAUCUACUUUUUCGUGGGUGAUAACGUAGGGAAACUUACGCUAAUACCGCAUACGACCUACGGGUGAAAGCAGGGGAUCUUCGGACCUUGCGCGAUUGAAUUAGCCGAUGUCGGAUUAGCUAGUUGGCGGGGUAAAGGCCCACCAUGGCGACGCUCCGUAGCUGGUCUGAGAGGAUGAUCAGCCACACUGGAACUGAGACACGGUCCAGACUCCUACGGGAGGCAGCAGUGGGGAAUAUUGGACAAUGGGCGCAAGCCUGAUCCAGCCAUACCGCGUGGGUGAAGAAGGCCUUCGGGUUGUAAAGCCCUGUUGUUGGGAAAGAAAAGCAGCAGGUUAAUACCCCGCUGUUCUGACGGUACCCAAAGAAUAAGCACCGGCUAACUUCGUG
RNAcentral lists this ribosomal RNA (492 nucleotides) under uncultured bacterium. RNAcentral's name for it is "partial 16S ribosomal RNA". It matches the Rfam family "Bacterial small subunit ribosomal RNA", at positions 29 to 507 of the family's 1533-position model. The record is from RNAcentral.